RNAcentral lists this ribosomal RNA (506 nucleotides) under uncultured bacterium. RNAcentral's name for it is "partial 16S ribosomal RNA". It matches the Rfam family "Bacterial small subunit ribosomal RNA", at positions 29 to 523 of the family's 1533-position model. The record is from RNAcentral.
AGUGAACGCUGGCGGUAGGCCUAACACAUGCAAGUCGAACGGCAGCACAGGAGAGCUUGCUCUCUGGGUGGCGAGUGGCGGACGGGUGAGGAAUACAUCGGAAUCUACUUUUUCGUGGGGGAUAACGUAGGGAAACUUACGCUAAUACCGCAUACGACCUACGGGUGAAAGCUGGGGAUCUUCGGACCUUGCGCGAUUGAAUGAGCCGAUGUCGGAUUAGCUAGUUGGCGGGGUAAAGGCCCACCAAGGCGACGAACCGUAGCUGGUCUGAGGGGAAGAACAAGCACCCUGGAACUGAGGCACGGUCCAAACUCCUACGGGAGGCAGCAGUGGGGAAUAUUGGACAAUGGGCGCAAGCCUGAUCCAGCCAUACCGCGUGGGUGAAGAAGGCCUUCGGGUUGUAAAGCCCUUUUGUUGGGAAAGAAAUCCAGCUGGUUAAUACCCGGUUGGGAUGACGGUACCCAAAGAAUAAGCACCGGCUAACUUCGUGCCAGCAGCCGCCGUAA